RNAcentral lists this ribosomal RNA (406 nucleotides) under uncultured bacterium. RNAcentral describes it as "partial 16S ribosomal RNA". It matches the Rfam family "Bacterial small subunit ribosomal RNA", at positions 30 to 526 of the family's 1533-position model. The record is from RNAcentral.
CUUGAACGCUGGCGGCAGGCCUAACACAUGCAAGUCGAACGAGUGGCGGACGGGUGAGUACUUUCUGGGAAACUGCCUGAUGGAGGGGGAUAACUACUGGAAACGGUAGCUAAUACCGCAUACCAUCGGAUGUGCCCAUAUGGGAUGCGCGUGUGGGUGGGGUAACGGCUCACCAAGGCGACGAUCCCUAGCUGGUCUGAGAGGAUGACCAGCCACACUGGAACUGAGACACGGUCCAGACUCCUACGGGAGGCAGCAGUGGGGAAUCUUGCACCAUGGGCGCAAGCCUUAUGCAGCCAUGCCGCGUGUGUUAAGAAGGCCUUCGGGUUGUAAAGCACUUUCAGCGGGGAGGCGUUACCCGCAGAAGAAGCACCGGCUAACUCCGUGCCAGCCGCCGCGGUAAUAC